This 253-nucleotide ribosomal RNA is filed under the name uncultured bacterium. RNAcentral describes it as "partial 16S ribosomal RNA". It matches the Rfam family "Bacterial small subunit ribosomal RNA", at positions 524 to 776 of the family's 1533-position model. The record is from RNAcentral.
UACGAAGGGGGCUAGCGUUGCUCGGAAUCACUGGGCGUAAAGCGCACGUAGGCGGAUCUUUAAGUCAGGGGUGAAAUCCUGGAGCUCAACUCCAGAACUGCCUCUGAUACUGGGGAUCUUGAGUCCGGAAGAGGUAAGUGGAACUGCGAGUGUAGAGGUGAAAUUCGUAGAUACUCGCAAGAACACCAGUGGCGAAGGCGGCUUACUGGUCCGGUACUGACGCUGAGGUGCGAAAGCGUGGGGAGCAAACAGG